AAUCGUAAAGAUGUGACGUUCAGGAAGCCUUAUCACAGUUACCGCGACACGAGUUCAAUCGAAUCAAGUUCACUGAGCAUUUGAGUCGUGCGCAGAAUACAAAACAAAACAAAACAAAACGGAAGUUCCUGUGGACGACAGUGACUGGAUGUUAAACCAUCGUUACACACAAGCGCCGUCUUUCCUGCACCUGUUCCCGCUCACCCUGCAGCCAGUCACACCAGUCUUCAUUAGCGCAGCUGCUGCCGUCCCUCAGCCCUCAAGUCAGGAAGUCUGAUUAGAUACAGAAUGUCACCUUGCCCAUAUCAAGUGCUGGCGACCGGAAUAAUACACAUGACGCUGUUGCUGAUUUACAUCAGUGAACUGCCGUUUCUAUGGAAACAAAGAGUGCGAGGCCGGCCUGGGUUUGAUGGAGUGCUGUCAGACAGCGAGGAGGAGGUCGGAUCGUGUGUGCGUGUGUGUGUGUGUGUGGCCCAGAGGGAUCCUGAGCUCUAUAGAAGCGGUAAAGCUCCAGAAGAAGCUGUGCUGCAUUCACUCGGUUCUC
Molecule: long non-coding RNA, 544 nt
Organism: Sinocyclocheilus anshuiensis
Lineage: Eukaryota; Metazoa; Chordata; Actinopteri; Cypriniformes; Cyprinidae
Exons: 3
Source: RefSeq, a predicted model, not a curated record